GGGGGGGGGGUGAACUGGGUGGUAAACAGGUAGACGUAAGAGAGGGAAACUAGCCGAGGUGGUUUAUUAGAUUAUUUAUUAGUUAUCUAAGAGUCAGACAGAGGGACACAGAGAUCUGGUAGACAGAAGGACAGACAGACAGAGGGACAAUAACAGAGGUGGCAGGAAGGCAGGCAGGCUAUGCGCCGGCUCAAGUUCAUUUAAGUUCAUUCAGGUUGAUUUAUUUAGACAGGCUGGCAGACACCGUGUGAAGAGGUGAACUGGUUGAGGGGUAGAAGAUGGGAUCUUAGUUCGUGAGAGUCAUGGAAGUUGGGAAGUUAGCGAGAGUCAUGGGAGUUAGGAAGUUAGCGAGAGUCGUGCUCUUUAAUGGUGCAGGGGCAGGAGCAUCAGGAGCAGGAGCAAGAACAGGAGCAGGACAAUCAUAGCAUGCUUGAGCAUCUCUGCCUAAAGUGGUGUUUGAACACGCUGCUCUGCUUCAGAGGCCUCUAGACUCGCUCUCGACUCACUCUAGACGCUCUCGACACACCCUAGUACUGCUCUGUAAAGGACAUGGCUGCGUACUUUAAAGGUUACAGAGCAUUGGAGUACUGCUCUGUUAAGGACAUGGCUGCGUACUUUAAAGGUUACAGAGCAUUGGAGUACUGCUCUGUUAAGGACAUGGCUGCGUACUUUAAAGGUUACAGAGCAUUGGAGAACUGCUCUGUUAAGGACAUGAGUGCGUACUUGAAAGGUUGAUACCACUUUGGGCCGAGGCUCCGAGCGCCCUCCCUGUCAGUCGGUGUGCUUGACUGCGUGAAGAGGCUCGAUGAGCAGCAAUGGCACAAGACAAAUGUAAAGACUUAUUUCACUGGUUCGUGGUCACAUAAAAAUGCUGAAUGUUGUUUCAAAACGGGGCAGAAUUGUGUUCUAAGCUUGCAUUGUACACUGCAUGUGUGUGUUGAUAUGAAGGGAAUGAUCAUGUGGACAGUGUGUGUGUUUGUUUGUGUGUGUGUGUGUGUGUGUGUGUGUGUGUGUGUCUGGUGUGUGUGUGUGUGUGUGUGUGUGUUUUGUGUGUGUGUCUUGGGAAUCAAAUGCACCUCUGACGGUCUUUCAGGUUCUGUCUGCACAAAUGAUUGAGUAUGGGCCCUGCAUAACUAUGCUUUGCACCAUUAUUAUACUUUUAAAUUAUAAAACAAGUCAUUAUUUGUCUGUGAUUUUCAUUGUUAAAUAGGGUUUAUUGUAAAUGUCAAUCAUAAAAUACGUUCUGUUUGAUAAGCCGUCAGUUGUCUGUCUAAAAAGGGUUUACAUGUUUUCAGUAAGGUCUACAAUUUCACAUCUCUUUGGCCUGUAGCGUGACUGUGACCGUGACUGUGACUGACUGUGUGACAGCUGAAGGGUGUCCCAUGCGGGUGUGUUUAUGAAAGUUAGGAUGCAGUGGCUGAUCAGAGAUCAGUGCUAUGACCACUCACAGAGGGAUGUCUGCUGGGCAUGUCAGGUAUCUAUAUACACUGGCUGGAGAUUUUCCUCUGUUUUUAAAUUUUUUUGUUUUUGUUUUUUUCUGUUGCUGUGUCAGUGAGGAGCCAAAGUGCUGUUGGAGUUUCUCUGGAGUUGCCAUACACAGACAGAGAAUACACACUUAUUUGUUUCCUGGUGCUGUGUGUGGCGAGAGAGAGUAUAGCCCAAAGAAGCACAGUCCAGAUGAACUCCAACAGCACUUCGGCACCUCCCCGACAGACACACACACACACACACACACACAGACAGACAAACAGAAAGACAACACGCACGCAUGUGUGUCAUUUCACUGAGAACCGUACUGAAGAUCUCUGGCCUGCGUGGCUAUAAAGCACUCGCCGCUGUCUUAGAAUGGAGGCCCGGUAGACCAUUUCAGAAGCCAUGUGGACCACAGUGCCCCCAGUGGCCCAGAAGGACAUGGCACCUUCGUGAGCUGUGAGCUGUGUGGGUCCUGCAUGCGUCGCACCUGUGGACUAGUUCUGGACACCUGGAACUUACUGUGGUAGCCUGCUGCAGGACUAAUACAUGGGAAUAGUGCCCCUAAAACAUGGGAAUAGUGCCCCCUAAUAAACGGGAAUAGUGCCCCCUAAUAAACGGGAAUAGUGCCCCUAAAACAUGGGAAUAGUGCCCCCUAAUAAACGGGAAUAGUGCCCCUAAUAUAUGGGCUUAGUGCCGAUAACGCUGUUGUGCCCCCCUCCUCCCCAGACACACUCUCUCAGACUCUCGCUCUCUGUUGUGUUGCGUUGUGUUGUAUUCCCGACUGGAAUGCCGACUGGAAUUGUCUUUGUGUUUUAUGGGGACUGCUUAAAGUGAGUGCCUCUUCAGGUCAGCGCUAGUACAUGUAAAUAAACCAGGAACAUUUUGAAUGUCCAGUGGACGGAUGUAAUAAACGAAUGAAUUAA
Molecule: long non-coding RNA, 2396 nt
Organism: Clupea harengus (Atlantic herring)
Lineage: Eukaryota; Metazoa; Chordata; Actinopteri; Clupeiformes; Clupeidae
Exons: 2
Source: RefSeq, a predicted model, not a curated record